ACUCUUGGUACAUAGCCUGAUAAUUCAAUUUUACUUACAUUUUUUUUUUUGUCCAAGAGAUCUAUACAGAUCAGCCUGAUUUGUCCAUCUCGAAUCAUUGAAUGUGACUGCUUUUUCAACAGCAGUUUUGGACAAUGAAAUCCUGCUUAUCCGCGCACCACUUCAAUUUAUUGUAAAUCUGCUGCCUCCACAAAUACUUUAUCUGGGCAUUUUAACUUACCCCUUAAAUUAACCCAGGGUAUGUUAUAGGUGUAUUCACUUUAACUGUAUAUAAACCAUGACAGAUCUUAAAGGGACAAUAUUGUCACAAGAACCAG
Molecule: non-coding RNA, 317 nt
Organism: Pelobates cultripes (western spadefoot toad)
Lineage: Eukaryota; Metazoa; Chordata; Amphibia; Anura; Pelobatidae
Source: the annotation of a GenBank genome assembly